UUACGGCCAUAUCACGUUGAAACAUCGGUUCCCGUACAAUUACCGAAUUUAAGCAACGUCGAGCCUGGUCAGUACCUAGAUGGGUGACUACUUGGGAAUAUCAGGUGCUGUCA
This is a non-coding RNA of Acanthosepion pharaonis, 113 nucleotides long. NCBI's taxonomy places the organism in Eukaryota, Metazoa, Mollusca, Cephalopoda, Sepiida, Sepiidae. The record is from the annotation of a GenBank genome assembly.